RNAcentral lists this ribosomal RNA (257 nucleotides) under uncultured bacterium. RNAcentral describes it as "partial 16S ribosomal RNA". It matches the Rfam family "Bacterial small subunit ribosomal RNA", at positions 98 to 353 of the family's 1533-position model. The record is from RNAcentral.
CGGGACGGGUGAGUAACGCGUGGGUAACCUGCCUUAUACAGGGGGAUAACAGUCAGAAAUGGCUGCUAAUACCGCAUAAGCGCACAGAGCUGCAUGGCUCAGUGUGGAAAACUCCGGUGGUAUAAGAUGGACCCGCGUUGGAUUAGCUUGUUGGUGGGGUAACGGCCCACCAAGGCGACGAUCCAUAGCCGGCCUGAGAGGGUGAACGGCCACAUUGGGACUGAGACACGGCCCAGACUCCUACGGGAGGCAGCAUG